UUUUAUCACAUCUCUUAAAUAAAUCAACAAAUCUUUUUUUCCAUCCAUUCCACUUAGUUGGAUAAUCAAACAAACCAGAGCUUAUUUGAAUCGCAUAAAUCGACAAGCUCAUGGUGUUGAUUGCUUAAUUGGUGGUCCCGGUGGUCCACGCUGUUAGCAAAAUAAUGGGCAACGGAGACACGUUUGCAUUGUACAUCCAUCACAGAGGUAGCUUUGGAAAUACAGGGAAGCAUGUUGUGUACACAGGAGGUAAUUUUGAGAUAUUGGCACCAAUUUGGAUAAAGAGGAUAAGAAGAAAUUGGCUAUAAAGUUGAUAUCAGCAUCACUUGCUGUUGGAGUCCUUGUGGCAAGCUUUAUCAAUGGAGGGAUACUCUAUCUGACGAGGCGAAAGUGGCGAGUAAAAGCAAAAGAUGAGGAUAUAGAUUUGCCUACAAUCAAAAUGGCAGCCCUUGUGGAAGCAACAAAUAACUUCUCCUCUGAGAACAUGAUAGGAUCUGGAGGUUUUGGGUCUGUUUACAAGGUAAUAUGUAUACCAACAUGAUCAAGCAGGGCAAGUUAUCUACGGGAUAGGAAAUCGCUGUCAAAGAUUGUCGAGAGGUUCAAAUCAGGGUGUUGAGGAGUUCAAAAAUGAAAUAAAGUUGAUUGCUAAACUUCAACACAGGAACCUCGUCAGACUUGUUGGAUGUUGCAUUCAAGGAGAGGAAAUGGUGCUAAUAUAUGAAUACCUACAGAAUAAGAGCCUCGAUUGUUUUAUUUCUGAUCAGAAGCGAAGGAUGCUUUUAACAUGGCCUAAACGCUUUGACAUCAUCAUGGGAAUUGCAAGGGGACUGCUUUAUCUUCAUCAUGAUUUCAGGUUGAAGAUUAUCCAUAGGGAUCUGAAGAUGAGCAAUAUUUUACUCGACGAAAACUUAAAUCCAAAAAUUUCUGACUUUGGCUUAGCAAGAGCUUUUGAAGAAGACCAGUCUAUUGUUAGAACAAAAAGAGUUGUUGGGACAUUAGUAAGUUUUCUUUUAUCAUAUCAUUUUUUUUUUGUCAUUUUUCAUGGCGAUCUUAUGAUGGAGAAUUCUGUUCAGUGGCUAUAUGGCUCCAGAAUAUGCAAGUGACGGGAAGUUCUCAGUGAAAUCUGACAUCUUUAGUCUUGGAGUGGUAUUGCUAGAGAUAGUUAGUGGGAAGAAGAGCAGAGGAUUUAAACACGACGAUCACAAUCAUACCCUCCUAGGCCAUGCAUGGUUGCUAUGGAAAGACGAGAAGAUUAUGGAAGUGAUGGACGAAUGUUUGAAGGAAACAUGUGUUGAAUCCCAAGUGAAGAGAUGCAUACAUGUGGGGUUAUUAUGUGUUCAAAAUGUAGCAGAAGAUAGACCAAUC
Molecule: RNA transcript, 1365 nt
Organism: Salvia miltiorrhiza (redroot sage)
Lineage: Eukaryota; Viridiplantae; Streptophyta; Magnoliopsida; Lamiales; Lamiaceae
Gene name: cysteine-rich receptor-like protein kinase 25
Exons: 6
Source: RefSeq, a predicted model, not a curated record